CCUUUCUUUGUAAUAAAAACAUAUUUUUAUUUAUCAAUGUACAGUAAUAUAAAAAAUGUUUUAUAACCGCCCCUAUAAUAAAAAAUAAUGCAUGUUUUUUUUUUUUUUUUAAUAUCUAUUGGGAAUAAGUUGUUGCAAUGAUAUUUUUUUUAUUUAUGUAUAGUCGCUAUAUAGUCUUCUUGACGCUUCUUCUCACUAAACUAAUUGUAUUGUCGCUUCUUAUCGCUAUAUUAAUUUUAUUGUCGCUUCUUAUCACUUUUUGACGCUUCUUGUCUUUAAUUAGUGGAACCCUAUUCAGGAACGAUAAUUUCAUACUUUACAUAACUGAGACCGAAAUAACUAUAACGUCAUACGGCUUCACGUACAAAAAUACUUUAAAUUGUAUAUUAUGCAACAUAAUUCACGGUCAGUCGACUUUUAAUUGUAAUAUCAUGUUAUAUUAACGAGUGAAAUGAUUUCAAAAUAUCUUUAGAUCGCAAAUAGUACACGAAAUUGAACGGACCUCUUUCCACACGGAAUUCAAAUAAUGAUAGUUUGUAAUCAGAUUGACUGCUUAUAAUGCAAAAGACACAUUAAUAAACAGAUUUUUAAAACGAACAAUACACACUGAUCGUUUCUUUAUUUCCCAAUGUAAAUGAAGGGAACAAAAACCAUUUCAUGCCACA
This 665-nucleotide long non-coding RNA is filed under the name Mytilus galloprovincialis (Mediterranean mussel). The record is from RNAcentral. Lineage: Eukaryota; Metazoa; Mollusca; Bivalvia; Mytilida; Mytilidae.